CCGGCACGGGUGAGUAACACGUAUGCAAUCCACCUGUAACAGGGGGAUAACCCGGAGAAAUCCGGACUAAUACCCCAUAAUAUGGGCGCUCCGCAUGGAGAGCCCAUUAAAGAGAGCAAUUUUGGUUACAGACGAGCAUGCGCUCCAUUAGCCAGUUGGCGGGGUAACGGCCCACCAAAGCGACGAUGGAUAGGGGUUCUGAGAGGAGGGUCCCCCACAUUGGAACUGAGACACGGUCCAA
This 241-nucleotide ribosomal RNA is filed under the name uncultured bacterium. Its description in RNAcentral is "partial 16S ribosomal RNA". It matches the Rfam family "Bacterial small subunit ribosomal RNA", at positions 100 to 334 of the family's 1533-position model. The record is from RNAcentral.